This is a long non-coding RNA of Camelina sativa (false flax), 763 nucleotides long. RefSeq lists it as uncharacterized. The record is from RefSeq and is a predicted model, not a curated record. NCBI's taxonomy places the organism in Eukaryota, Viridiplantae, Streptophyta, Magnoliopsida, Brassicales, Brassicaceae.
UACUCGAUUCUUCUUUUUCUCUCGCCUCUCUCUCUCUCUUUUUAGCAAAAGCAUAGAGGAAGAGGUUCUGGAUUGCUGCAGUACAUAGAGAUAUGCACUAUUAGAACCAGUAGGGAACUGUUAACCCAUGGUUUGUGCCAUAGUAUUAUGGAUCAUCAUCUCUCUUAUGCAAGGUUGCUCCGUACCAAAAAGAAAAAGAUGAGUCGCUUUCUAAAGAUCCUGCUUGCAAGAUUCUGCGUCGGGAGCUUACUAAAAUUGUUGUGGAUGGUGUUGUGUCUAAGCUUUGACAUAACCAGUCCUUUUUUUUCUUUCCCUGUGUUUGGUCUGAUCAGCUUCUUCCUCAUAUGUCUUUUCAGAUGAGUUUCUUUUGCUUAAGCAUUUUUCUCCAGGUUCUGGCCUCUUCUUCAGCACCAGCAAUGUGUUUCCGAAGGUCAAUAACAUAUGACACAGAGAAAGAUGAGAAAGAAGUGUUCUUCACUAUUACCUCAUGUACUCGGUCUGCUUUUGUUGCUUUGCGUCUUCCCGGCUCCAUUUUCAGUCACAGUUCCGAGGAGCUUUCCAAUCUGUUUGAAGAGAAAGAGCCAAGCUUGGAGUUGGAGGAAGUGAAGCAAGCUUUUGAUGUCAUUGAUGAAAACAGAGAUUGGUUUAUCGAUCCAAUAGAUUUUCAAAGAGUUUUGACUGCUGUUAUUCAAUUAUGUAUUUGAUUAAUACAAUCCUCUCUUAUUUUGUUGGAAUGGAUUUUAAGAUAUUUUUUCCGUCUAAA